GAAUAUUGGACAAUGGGCGAAAGCCUGAUCCAGACAUGACGCGUGUGUGAAGAAGGUCUUCGGAUUGUAAAGCACUUUAAGUUGGGAGGAAGGGUUGUAACCUAAUACGUUGCAAUUUUGACGUUACCGACAGAAUAAGGACCGGCUAACUUCGUGCCAGCAGCCGGGGUAAUACGAAGGGUGCAAGCGUUAAUCGGAAUUACUGGGCGUAAAGCGCGCGUAGUUUGUUUGUUAAGUUGGAAGUGAAAGCCCCGGGCUCAACCUGGGAACUGCUUUCAAAACUGCAAACGUAGAGGAGGGAAGAGGGGGGGGGAAGGGCGGGGGGAGAGAUGGAAUGCGUAGAUAUAGGAAGGGAGACCAGUGGCGAAGGCGACCACCUGGGCUAAUACUGACACUGAGGUGCGAAAGCGUGGGGAGCAAACA
Molecule: ribosomal RNA, 423 nt
Filed under: uncultured bacterium
Lineage: Bacteria
Description: partial 16S ribosomal RNA
Rfam family: Bacterial small subunit ribosomal RNA
Source: RNAcentral